Molecule: ribosomal RNA, 388 nt
Filed under: Aglaura sp.
Lineage: Eukaryota; Metazoa; Cnidaria; Hydrozoa; Trachymedusae; Rhopalonematidae
Description: partial small subunit ribosomal RNA
Rfam family: Eukaryotic small subunit ribosomal RNA
Source: RNAcentral
AUUCCAGCUCCAAUAGCGUAUAUUAAAGUUGUUGCAGUUAAAAAGCUCGUAGUUGGAUUCCGGAAUGGGUCAGUUGGUCCGCCUCACGGUGUGUUACUGACUGGUCUGUUCUUCUUCGCAAAGACUGUGUAUUCUCUUCAUUGAGUGUGCUCAGGAUUUACGACGUUUACUUUGAAAAAAUUAGAGUGUUCAAAGCAGGCCUACCGCUUGAAUACAUGAGCAUGGAAUAAUGGAAUAGGACUUUGGUCUUAUUUUGUUGGUUUCUAAGACCGAAGUAAUGAUUAAGAGGGACAGUUGGGGGCAUUAGUAUUUCGUUGUCAGAGGUGAAAUUCUUGGAUUUACGAAAGACUAACAACUGCGAAAGCAUUUGCCAAGAAUGUUUUCAUUA